Molecule: ribosomal RNA, 250 nt
Filed under: uncultured bacterium
Lineage: Bacteria
Description: partial 16S ribosomal RNA
Rfam family: Bacterial small subunit ribosomal RNA
Source: RNAcentral
UACAGAGGGUGCGAGCGUUGUCCGGAAUCACUGGGCGUAAAGGGCGCGUAGGUGGCUGGGUAAGUGUGCGGUGAAAGUCCGGGGCUCAACCCCGGAUCGGCCGUGCAGACUGCUUGGCUUGAGCAUAGUAGAGGCAGGUGGAAUUCCGGGUGUAGCGGUGGAAUGCGUAGAGAUCCGGAAGAACACCGGUGGCGAAGGCGGCCUGCUGGGCUAUUGCUGACACUGAGGCGCGACAGCGUGGGGAGCAAAC